RNAcentral lists this ribosomal RNA (429 nucleotides) under Bacteroidota bacterium. Its description in RNAcentral is "Bacteroidetes bacterium partial 16S ribosomal RNA". It matches the Rfam family "Bacterial small subunit ribosomal RNA", at positions 355 to 776 of the family's 1533-position model. The record is from RNAcentral. Lineage: Bacteria; Pseudomonadati; Bacteroidota.
UAGGGAAUCUUCGGCAAUGGGGGGAACCCUGACCGAGCAACGCCGCGUGAGUGAAGAAGGUUUUCGGAUCGUAAAGCUCUGUUGUUAAGGAAGAACGAGUGUGAGAAUGGAAAGUUCAUACUGUGACGGUACUUAACCAGAAAGGGACGGCUAACUACGUGCCAGCAGCCGCGGUAAUACGUAGGUCCCGAGCGUUGUCCGGAUUUAUUGGGCGGAAAGCGAGCGCAGGCGGUUAGAUAAGUCUGAAGUUAAAGGCAGUGGCUCAACCAUUGUAGGCUUUGGAAACUGUUUAACUUGAGUGCAGAAGGGGGGAGUGGAAUUCCAUGUGUAGCGGUGAAAUGCGUAGAUAUAUGGAGGAACACCGGUGGCGAAAGCGGCUCUCUGGUCUGUAACUGACGCUGAGGCUCGAAAGCGUGGGGAGCGAACAGG